This 468-nucleotide ribosomal RNA is filed under the name uncultured bacterium. RNAcentral describes it as "partial 16S ribosomal RNA". It matches the Rfam family "Bacterial small subunit ribosomal RNA", at positions 28 to 507 of the family's 1533-position model. The record is from RNAcentral.
GACGAACGCUGGCGGCGUGCUUAACACAUGCAAGUCGAACGGAAAGGCCCUGCUUUUGUGGGGUGCUCGAGUGGCGAACGGGUGAGUAACACGUGAGUAACCUGCCCUUGACUUUGGGAUAACUUCAGGAAACUGGGGCUAAUACCGGAUAGGAGCUCCUGCUGCAUGGUGGGGGUUGGAAAGUUUCGGCGGUUGGGGAUGGACUGGCGGCUUAUCAGCUUGUUGGUGGGGUAGUGGCUUACCAAGGCUUUGACGGGUAGCCGGCCUGAGAGGGUGACCGGCCACAUUGGGACGGAGAUACGGCCCAGACUCCUACGGGAGGCAGCAGUGGGGAAUAUUGCACAAUGGGCGGAAGCCUGAUGCAGCAACGCCGCGUGCGGGAUGACGGCCUUCGGGUUGUAAACCGCUUUCGCCUGUGACGAAGCGUGAGUGACGGUAAUGGGUAAAGAAGCACCGGCUAACUACGUG